GCCGGGAUAGCUCAGCUGGGAGAGCAGAGGACUGAAAAUCCUCCACCGGUCCAAAACCUUUUCAUUU
Molecule: transfer RNA, 67 nt
Filed under: Thlaspi arvense
Lineage: Eukaryota; Viridiplantae; Streptophyta; Magnoliopsida; Brassicales; Brassicaceae
Description: tRNA-Phe
Source: RNAcentral